GGCGGGCGGCCGGCGCGCCCACUGCUCCCUCCCUCCUCCCUGGCCAGUCCCCGUCCUCUCGCGGCGGCUUUCCCUCGGUCCCCUCCGCCUCUCCUCCUUCCCUUCUCCGGCCUCCUCCCUCUUCUCGCCAGCCUCCCUCCUGGCCCUGCGCGCUCUCCCGUGCCUCUCCCUCCGCUCGUGUCAUUGUGUCAUUCUUUCUUUCCUCCUCGCUCCUGUCUCGGUACGUCUGUCCUUCCACUGCCGGCGUGUCCUCGUCCUCUGCGCUGGGGCGACGGGUCUUCGCGUCUUACUCUCUCUCUCCGCCGGCCCCCCUCCCUGUGUGUCCCCUGCCUGCUCCCGGGGCUCCAUCCUCCCCUUCUCCGGCCUCCUCCUUCCGCGUCUCCUCUCUCCUACACCUUCCCCAGGCAGGCUCUGCAGUUCCCGCUCCCUCUCGGCUCUCCCAGCCUCCCUCCCCUCGCUGAGGUUCGGUACCCCCGCCCCCCACUGGGGACUCGAAGGUGAAUCAGACCCAAACGUGCCCUUGCAGCGGGAGCUCACGGUGUGAUGGGAGAGACAGACCCAGCCGCAGACAGUCCCAUUCCGGGGUGAUGGGGUGUGACCGAGGGCGAGACCAGAGGCUGAGAGAGCCGGGGCGGAAGGAAUCCUCGCAGCAGGUCCACCAGGGGGGACCUCCAGAGAAGGCGUGGUUGUGGCGUGACCUCCAAGAACCAGAAGUUAGACCUGAAUUGUUGAGAGGGGCAGCAGUAAGGGCGUUCCAGGCCCAGGGCACAGCUUAAGCAAAGGCCCAAAGGCAGGAAACCAAGGUGAUUCCGGAGGACAACAAAGCAGUCAAGUCUGACUAGAGCGGUAGGGGCCGGGAGCCAAGGAGCGUAGAAGAAGCUGGGGUGAGUGGGCGGGGCCGUUCUCGGCGUGUCCAAGGCCAGGCUGGGAACUUAGUCUUCCCAGAGUGACAGGGAGCCACGGAGGGUUGUGAGCAAGGGGAGGGACGGGGAGAGAUGGAUGGGGUAGGACCAGCGGGCAGAGAGGACCCCGAGGGACUGGGCACUGCUGGGUUGUGGGUGAGGGUGAGGAGCCAGGGGAUGGGAGUUGUUCCCAGCGGGGAGCCAGGACGAAGAAGAGGGUGGAGGAGAGAGAAGACGACGCUGUGGGCAGCUUAGAACCUAGGGGAACGUUAGGGGCUGGGCACAUUUCGGCAGGACAUUCAGGCAGUAUAGAUUUAUGGUUCUAGGGCUUCCUCCCACCGUGCCCCCAGACAUCCAGUUCUCUGGGGACAACUUAUGCUUACAAAUUUCCUGCGCAUUUUUCCAGAGGAAUUCUUACACCUAUGCAAUAUGUUAUACCAUCCUCCUCUUUCUUGUCCCUAGAUGGAAUCACGUUAUUCUGCACCUUGCUUUAAAAAAAAAAAAAAAACACUAUGCCCCAAAGAUUCACCCACAUCCAUGCCGUUAGAGCUCCCUCAUUUGUUUAAAUGGCUCUAUAGUAUUCCCUUUAUUUAUCCAUAAUUCAUGCAAUCAGUUGAGAGACUGGGAGUUGAAACUAAUGAAUAUUGCCUAUUCAAAUCUUCUGGUUUGUGUGUUUUUUUAAAAUUGAUUCCAUUCAGUGUUUUUUAAGCCUCUGAAACCAGCUAUUUGAUAAAUACCUCCAGAUGUUUUAAUUUUUUUUUUAUAAUUACUACAGGGGUGCCCCCUUAUUUAGUUCCAUUUUCCAAAGUUUCAGGUAUCCACAAUGAACUAUAAUUUGAAACAUUAUACACAGAAAAUUCCAGAAAUAAUUGACAAGUUCUAAAUCGUGCGUUCAUCCAGGCAGUGUAACGAAAUCUUGCACCAUCAUUUCCGGAACCUCUGUCAUCCUGUGGACAGGUGUAUCCCCCUGUGUAUGCCACAUGCCCAUUCAGACUUUCAGUAGCUGUUUCAGAUUGAGUUAGCAGAUUGCCUUUUGUGAUACUUCAGGGUUGUGUUUUACACAAGCCUUAUUAUACUUAAUCGUGGUCCCCAAGUACAAGGAUAGUGAUGCUGGUAAUUUUAUUACAAAAUAUUGUUAUAAUUGUUCUAUGAUUGUUGUUAAGCUCUUAACUGUACAUAAUUUGUGAAUUAAACUUUAUCAUAUGUAUGCAUGUAUAGAAAAAAGAAAACAUAGAGCAUUUGGUACUAUCCAAGGUUUUAGAUGUUUAUUGGGGGUCUUGGAACAUAUCGUGUUCCCCCCAUGGUAAGGGGGGAAUACUUGGAUGACAGAAAUAAUAAUGUGAGAACCCAUACCCUUAUUGAAUGACUGCUAAGGGCAGUCCCUACACUAAGUAUUUGCUAUGCAUUACAUAAUUUUUCACAUGGCCACCAUGUUAUUAGAAACAGUUAUUAUUUCCAUGUAAGAACAAGGGACUUGAGGUUCUGAAUAAUGAGUUGCCCAAACUUACAAAGUCAGUGACAGAGCUGGAGACUUGAACCCAGGCCUCUCUGACUUGGGGUGGGGGUUCUUCCUCUGUGAAAAUGUGCUACUUCUAGGGGUUGAUGUUGUGCACAUGUGGACUUGUCAUGCCCACAAAUUCACGUGUGAUUCCAAAGGACCCUUUGUCAGACCCUGUACUUUGGUAUCUGGAAUUCUGUCCCUCUGCACUCACCUUACAUGCCCUGUGGUCAGGACAGGACAGCAGCUGCACAACCAUGCUGACCUUGUCCUGCCCUGAUCCUGGUGUGUUGUGAUUUCAGUGUCUGGGUCUGUCUCUGGGAAUACACUGAGGGCACAGUCUAGGUCUGAGUCAUCUCUGCAUCUUCAAAAUAUCACCCAACAUAGGUGUGGCUCAGAGCAGGGUCUCAGGAAAAUGAUAAGUGAAUGAAUAGGGGGAUGGGUUGUGCUGGGACUUUGAUGAAGUCCCUGGGAUAAGAGAACAUCAUUCCCAUAACUUCCUGAAACGUGAGGCCUCCAUUCCUAUCAGUUGGUAAGUCAUGGAGACUACUUUUGCCACCAUUCUCUAAUGUAUACAGUUCCAAAUCCCUCAGCAUGUGAGCCUCAGCUGUAACAAUUUCCACAAAGACUGAGACACUCCCAUCAGCCCUGGGGACUCAGGGACCCCUCACUCCCAUCCCUCUGAGACUCGAGGCUGGCAUUCCUGGCAGACAUUGGCUCACAGGCAUACUAGACCUUCUCUGCCUCCCUACAGCCGUAAUUCCCACAGCCCUUACACAUAGAGACUGCUAUUCUCUUGACACCCAAGUGCCACCAUUCUUGUUCCUGGGUUGGAACCAUACUCCAAUGGAAAAUAGAAAUUUUCUGCCCUUCACAAGGCCAUCCCCAAAUUUCUGAAAUGGGAACAGCUAAACAGGAAGACACCCUGAACCUGUUCCAAACUAGGUCUGAGUUUAGGACUCUGACAUUGAUACCAUGAAACAGGAGGCAGUGGGUCAUAAAGAACAUCAAAGUAAUGCAGAAUCCUCCUCGAAUGAGAGAUCAAGUCCAAACCCAGGGUAAUCCUUGAGCAGCACAUAAUCCUUACAGGUGGGAUAAUCCUCAGACCGGCAGAACAUAAAAACGCAGAUGAUCCAAAGGCCACAGAUGCUUCCAUGGCACUAUUAAAUAAUCCAAAAUGGUCACUUGCUCCUGUGGACUUGUAGGAAUUGGAGAUGGAGGCAUCAUUUUUGUUUUGGUGAAUGACAAAUCCCAUUCCCAUUAUCUCUUCUGGUCAAGGAGCCUGGGAGAUGGGUGUGGUUAUUUGGGGAGGGUCUCCCCACAGCCUUCCUCUUUGCAAUGGGCCAUACCUACUAAUUUUGAAAGAAAGCCCACAUUCACAUGACUUUUAAUAUAGUAUAUUGUUGUAAUUAUUCUGUUUUUAUUAUUGUUGAUCUCUUGCGGCGUUCAAUUUACAAGUUAAACUUUAUAAUAACUAUGUAUAGAGAAAAAAGAGUCUACCUAGGAUUCAGGACUAUCUGUGGUUUCAGAUCCACCGUGAGUCUUGCAAUGUAUUCCCAGUGAUGAGGGCGACGACUGUUUGAAGACACAGAAGAGACAUUGGAAAGAAGACCACGUGAAGAUGCAGACUGAAGCGAGGCGUCUACAUGCCAUGGAGCAGAAAGGAUUCCUACCAGCCUCCUUGAUUUCCAAAUCCCAUCCUCCACAACUGUAAGAGAAUAAAUUUCUAUUGAACAAUAACAUUAGAAAUGAGAACAAGUCGUGUUGUUCCUAUCUACUGUCAAUAUAUUAAUAGUCACUUUCAAAUGUAAGCAUUCUAAUGUAACUUGGAGAAGAAAUCAUUGUCUGUUCAAGGUCAAAUUUUAUCAUUCAGUUGAAGUGUGUGUGUGUGUGUGUGUGUGUGUGUGUAAUUACAUAAUUACAGGAGUAAGAGGCUGAAAUAAUUAAUGAUUGUGAAAGCCAGCAGGAUGCAGGUGGGUUCUUCAGGAGAAUGACUCUAAAGUAGAUUAGAGUUCAGCAAAUUAAUUGGGGGAGCCCUCAGAAUUCACUUGUGUAGGGGAGCAAACAGGUGAGCCAAGGAGAGGUUGAAUGGUGUGCACUUAUAGUAAAGGCCUCAACCAAUCCCAUAGGGAGCUGGGGAGCUGGAUGGCUCCACAGACGCAUCCUGAAUUGGAACAAUAUAGCUAGGCCUUAUACUGCUCAUUGACCUGUUAAACAAAACUCUUUAGGCCAAUUAAACUUAGCAGAGUUAAUAUGAGCAAAGAAUGAUUCAUGAGUUGGGCAGCUCUCAGAACCAGAAGAGAUUCAAAGAGCUCUGUCCAGCAGUGUUAGCAGAGAAAUUUCAAAGCCUGAACACAGAAGCAAAACAGAAAUCACUUGAUUGGCUACAGCCUAGUUUCUGCCUUGCUUGGGCGUGGUGUGGUUAACCAUUUGCAUUGAUUCAGCAGGUCUGAUCAAUUAUCUGCCUGUGAUCCCCUGAAGCUUGGCUGUUUGUUACAAUAUUACUGCCAAGUUAGUGCUAUGGUGAGCGUAUCCCCCCAAAACACAUGUUUUGCAAGGUUAAUUCCCAAUGCAACAGAGUUGAUAGGUGGGCCUGGUGGGAGGUGUUUAGGUCAUGAGAAAUUCAUCCUCAUGGAUAAAUUUAUACUGAUUAUAAAAGGGCUUGGGGUUGUGGCUCAGUGGUAGAGUGCUUGCCUAGCAUGCCUGAGGCUCUGGGUUUGAUCCCCAGUGCUGCAUACAAAAACUAAAUAAACAAAAUAAAAGAGCUUGAGGUCACAGGUUCAAUUUCCCUGGUCUUUCUUACCCUCUUACCUUCCUCCGAGUGAUGAUGAAGCAAGAAGGCCCUGGCCAGAUGUUGGCACCUUGCUAUUGGGCUUCCCAGACUCCAGAACUGUGAGAAAGAAAUUCUUUUUUUAACAAAAUAAAUGGCCCAGUCUGUGAUAUUCUGUUUAGUAGCACAAAAUGGACUAAGACUGUUAGCUUUUCUCUUGUUUGCAUACUAAGUUAGGUGGUUUGUUAGGGAACUCAAAGGGCAGCCAGCCUUAGGCUCAUGGCCUCCUGCUUGUUUUGACUCAGUCGACCCAUCACUGGAUGUGUGCUGACCGGAAAGGGGCUGUGACCUCCGUCAGGCAGCUCCCUUGCUCCGAAGGGGGUCUUUGUGAGGGAGGACUCAACUGCAGGCUCCCAGUCACCAAUACUCCCAGCAACUGCAUGGACAGUACUCAUGUCCAGAGGGGGCAGUCCACCCUCUAUGCCAUGUCUUUGACACCCAGGAACAAUGAACAACUUCCACAUAAUCAAACAACUCAUGAAAUAAAACAGUGUGGUGUGUGUGUGUGUGUGUGUGUGUGUGUGUGUAGGUAUACAUUGAUAUAUCAAUAAUGAUAUCAAUAGUAAGGGUGACUCAAUUAGAUACUGUAAUUAGGAAGAAUAUUUUCUCCUCUUGGAACCAACACGUGGAUAUAAAAACUGUAAAUGAUAACACAAGGCAGAACAGUAAAGACUAGAGAAGACGGAAACCCAGACCUCGUGUUUGCGCUAGGCAGCCUUUGUACAAUGGUUUGGCAUUCCAGCUUUCAUAUUACUAAAGGAAAUAAUCUUUAAUAACUGUAUUUAAUUUUUUAAUCAUUUAAUUCCUUUUGGGAUGUACAUCUUUUAAGAAAAGGUGUUAUUUGAAAGUUCUUUAUGUAUCUGAAGAUGAAUUUUAAAAAGAUGGAUGACUUUGUUGGCUAAAAUUUCUUGAAGUGGAAGUAAAACCCUCUAAUAUCAUGUACAGCAACUUCUAUGAAAAAUCAUCUUUGAUCCAGACAUUGUAACGAAUACAGAGAGCAUAAAAGAAACAGGAAAGUUUGGGGAAUGAGGUGCCUCAAACGCAUUUUGUUCUCACUAAUCAAACUUCAAAACAACAGAUUUUUAAAAGAAUACUUUUAAAACUACGUUCUUUAUAGUUUUGAGUCCAUUGAAGCUAAAACCUUAAAUCGAAACUGUCAAGUUUGCUGCAUACUACUGACCACCGUUUUCAGAAGUAGAAGAUGAGGAAUUUUCAAAAUUUGCAUGAGCUAUGAUUCUUAAACGUUCUUUCUGGAAAACAUGUUUUAAAAAAUCAUUCUUUCUGGAAAACGUGUUUUGAAAAAGUGUUAUUUAAAUUAUACAUAGAAUUACUGUAUGUACUGCCUCAGGAUCUUGUAUGUGAAACAUUUGGGCAUUAAACAAUGAGGUGCCUUUUUAGUUGAUUUAUGACUACCUUAACUGUGACUCUGCUUGUUGCUGCGAUAUUUCUGGGUCUUGCCCGUAAUGGACAACACAGCAUGUAUGAAUCAUGGAUGCACAUGGAAAGGAAAAUCAUCAUUGAUGAUGGAAUAAGAAAGAGGCUGAGUGAAUUAGAAAUUACAAGCAUAUUGUGAUUUGUUCUCUCUUCAGUUGUGUCCAGAAAUAGACAGCAGCAUCGGGCAGAAGAAUUGCU
This 6862-nucleotide long non-coding RNA is filed under the name Marmota monax (woodchuck). The record is from RNAcentral. Lineage: Eukaryota; Metazoa; Chordata; Mammalia; Rodentia; Sciuridae.